This 486-nucleotide ribosomal RNA is filed under the name uncultured bacterium. Its description in RNAcentral is "partial 16S ribosomal RNA". It matches the Rfam family "Bacterial small subunit ribosomal RNA", at positions 29 to 507 of the family's 1533-position model. The record is from RNAcentral.
AUUGAACGCUGGCGGCAUGCCUUACACAUGCAAGUCGAACGGCAGCACGGGUGCUUGCACCUGGUGGCGAGUGGCGAACGGGUGAGUAAUACAUCGGAACAUGUCCUGUAGUGGGGGAUAGCCCGGCGAAAGCCGGAUUAAUACCGCAUACGAUCUACGGAUGAAAGCGGGGGACCUUGGGGCCUCGCGCUAUAGGGUUGGCCGAUGGCUGAUUAGCUAGUUGGGGGGGUAAAGGCCUACCAAGGCGGCGAUCAGUAGCUGAUCUGAGAGGGCGACCAGCGACACUGGGACUGAGACACGGCCCAGACUCCUACGGGAGGCAGCAGUGGGGAAUUUUGGACAAUGGGGGAAAGCCUGAUCCAGCAAUGCCGCGUGUGUGAAGAAGGCCUUCGGGUUGUAAAGCACUUUUGUCCGGAAAGAAAUCCUUGGGCCUAAUACGGUCGGGGGAUGACGGUACCGGAAGAAUAAGCACCGGCUAACUACGUG